Molecule: RNA transcript, 980 nt
Organism: Mandrillus leucophaeus (drill)
Lineage: Eukaryota; Metazoa; Chordata; Mammalia; Primates; Cercopithecidae
Gene name: alcohol dehydrogenase class-3 pseudogene
Exons: 3
Source: RefSeq, a predicted model, not a curated record
GGUUAUCAAGUGCAAGGCUGCAGUUGCCUGGGAGGCUGGAAAGCCUCUCUCCAUAGAGUAGAUAGAAGUGGCACUCCCAAAGGCUCAUGAAGUUCGAAUCAAGAUUGUUGCCACUGUGGUUUGCCACACUGACACCUAUAUCCUGAGCAGAGCUGAUCCUGAAGGUUGUUUUCCAGUGAUCUCGGGAAAUGAAGGUGCUGGAAUUGUGCAAAGUGUUGGUGACACUGUCAUCUCACUUUAUAUCCCACAGUGUGGAGAAUGCAAAUUUUGUCUAAAUCCUAAAACUAACCUUUUCCAGAAGAUAAGAGUCACACAAGGGAAAGGAUUAGUGCCAGAUGGUGCCAGCAGAUUUACUUGCAAAGGAAAGACAAUUUUACAUUACAUGGGAAUCGGAACACUUUCUGAAUACACAGUUGUGGCUGAUAAUCUCUGUUGCUAAAAUAGAUCCUCUAGCACCUUUGGAUAAAGUUGGUCUCCUAGGUUGUGGCAUUUCCACUGGUUAUGGUCCUGCUGUGAACACUGCCAAGGUGGAGCCUGGCUCUGUUUGUGCCGUCUUUGGCCUGGGAGGAGUUGGAUUGGGAGUUACCAUGGGCUGCAAAGUGACUGGUGCAUCGCAGAUCAUUGGUGUGGACAUCAAUAAAGAUAAAUUUGCAAGGGCCAAAGAGCUUGGAGCCACUGAAUGUAUUAGCCCUCAGGAUUUGAGUAAACCAAUCCAGGAAGUGCUCAUUGAGAUGAUGAGCACUGAUGGAGGAGUGGACUAUUCCUUUGAAUGUACUGGUAAUGUGAAGAUCAUGAGAGCAGCACUUGAGGCAUGUCGCCAGGGCUGGGGCAUCAGUGUGGUGGUUGGAGUAGCUGCUUCAGGUGAAGAAAUUGCCACUCAUCCAUUCCAGCUGGCAACAGGUCACACAUGGAAAGGCAUUGCCUUUGGAGGAUGGAAGAGUAUAGAAAGUCCAUAUACUGAAAAAGAAACAACAGAUUGA